RNAcentral lists this ribosomal RNA (154 nucleotides) under uncultured Acaulospora. RNAcentral's name for it is "5.8S ribosomal RNA". It matches the Rfam family "5.8S ribosomal RNA". From Rfam's summary of the family: 5.8S ribosomal RNA (5.8S rRNA) is a component of the large subunit of the eukaryotic ribosome. It is transcribed by RNA polymerase I as part of the 45S precursor that also contains 18S and 28S rRNA. The record is from RNAcentral. Lineage: Eukaryota; Fungi; Glomeromycota; Glomeromycetes; Diversisporales; Acaulosporaceae.
ACUUUCAACAACGGAUCUCUUGGCUCUUGCAUCGAUGAAGAACGCAGCGAAAUGCGAUAAGUAAUGUGAAUUGCAGAAUUUCCGUGAAUCAUUGAAUCUUUGAACGCAAAUUGCACUUCUUGGUAUUCCGAGGAGUAUGCUUGCUUGAGGGUUG